UACGGAGGAUGCGAGCGUUAUCCGGAUUUAUUAGGUUUAAAGGGUGUGUAGGCGGAAAACUAAGUCAGUGGUGAAAUCUCCCGGCUUAACCGGGAAACUGCCAUAGAUACUGGUUUUCUUGAGUACAGUUGAAGUAGGCGGAAUGUGUAAUGUAGCGGUGAAAUGCUUAGAUAUUACACAGAACACCGAUUGCGAAGGCAGCUUGCUAAGCUGUUACUGACGCUGAUGCACGAAAGCGUGGGGAUCGAACAGGAUUAGAUACCCUGGUAGUCCACGCCGUAAACGAUGAUUACUCGUUGUUGGCGAUAUAAAGCCAGCGACUGAGCGAAAGCAUUAAGUAAUCCACCUGGGGAGUACGGCGGCAACGCUGAA
This 372-nucleotide ribosomal RNA is filed under the name uncultured bacterium. RNAcentral's name for it is "bacterial SSU rRNA". It matches the Rfam family "Bacterial small subunit ribosomal RNA", at positions 524 to 898 of the family's 1533-position model. The record is from RNAcentral.